Molecule: small nucleolar RNA, 88 nt
Organism: Dioscorea cayenensis subsp. rotundata (Guinea yam)
Lineage: Eukaryota; Viridiplantae; Streptophyta; Magnoliopsida; Dioscoreales; Dioscoreaceae
Product: small nucleolar RNA Z199
Exons: 1
Source: RefSeq, a predicted model, not a curated record
UAUUCAAAUGAUGAGGAAAAUACUGCAACAAUAUGAUUCGUGUCUUUAACACGAUGCAUGAUUCGUAGUAUUUAAGUCUCUGAUGAUC